CUUGUCUGUCAGAGUGAAGUUUUAAUGCCCAUUAAAGAAAGACAACAUAAUCCCAAAUCCUUGCAAUGCAUUGCCUAGUGUCUUUUCUAGAGGCGAUUAAAUUUUAAUACUAAACUUCAAGGAGUAAUAAAACCAAGAAGUGGCACAUGGGAAGGGAGCGACGACAGACUUCUUAGGUCUGGGGAAGAGAGAAAGUAUUUUUGUGUCUUUGCCCUGACUCACCGUGGCCUCUUGCCAUUUCAGGGCCCACCUUACGCAUCUGCACAGAUAGAAUCCACUCAUGGAAUAAAAAUGUGGAAAAGUGUGGAAAAAA
RNAcentral lists this long non-coding RNA (313 nucleotides) under Homo sapiens (human). RNAcentral describes it as "HSALNT0099340". The record is from RNAcentral. Lineage: Eukaryota; Metazoa; Chordata; Mammalia; Primates; Hominidae.